UUAAUAGUUCAGUCAGUAGAGCGUGAGGCUCUUGAUCUCAGGGUUGUGGAUUCAAAUUCCACGUUGGGCAAAA
This is a non-coding RNA of Podarcis lilfordi (Lilford's wall lizard), 73 nucleotides long. Lineage: Eukaryota; Metazoa; Chordata; Lepidosauria; Squamata; Lacertidae. The record is from the annotation of a GenBank genome assembly.